GAAGUAGCUUGCUACUGAUCUUAGCGGCGGACGGGUGAGUAAUACUUAGGAAUCUGGCUAUUAGUGGGGGACAACAUUUCGAAAGGGAUGCUAAUACCGCAUACGUCCUACGGGAGAAAGCAGGGGAUCAGUAAUGACCUUGCGCUAAUAGAUGAGCCUAAGUCGGAUUAGCUAGUUGGUGGGGUAAAGGCCUACCAAGGCGACGAUCUGUAGCGGGUCUGAGAGGAUGAUCCGCCACACUGGGACUGAGACACGGCCCAGACUCCUACGGGAGGCAGCAGUGGGGAAUAUUGGACAAUGGGGGGAACCCUGAUCCAGCCAUGCCGCGUGUGUGAAGAAGGCCUUAUGGUUGUAAAGCACUUUAAGCGAGGAGGAGGGUACUGGUAUUAAUACUACCAGCUACUGGACGUUACUCGCAGAAUAAGCACCGGCUAACUCUGUGCCAGCAGCCGCGGUAAUACAGAGGGUGCGAGCGUUAAUCGGAUUUACUGGGCGUAAAGCGCGCGUAGGCGGCUAAUUGAGUCGGAUGUGAAAUCCCCGAGCUUAACUUGGGAAUUGCAUUCGAUACCGGUUAGCUAGAGUGUGGGAGAGGAUGGUAGAAUUCCAGGUGUAGCGGUGAAAUGCGUAGAGAUCUGGAGGAAUACCGAUGGCGAAGGCAGCCAUCUGGCCUAACACUGACGCUGAGGUACGAAAGCAUGGGGAGCAAACAGGAUUAGAUACCCUGGUAGUCCAUGCCGUAAACGAUGUCUACUAGCCGUUGGUCUCUUUGAGGGAUUAGUGGCGCAGCUAACGCGAUAAGUAGACCGCCUGGGGAGUACGGUCGCAAGACUAAAACUCAAAUGAAUUGACGGGGGCCCGCACAAGCGGUGGAGCAUGUGGUUUAAUUCGAUGCAACGCGAAGAACCUUACCUGGUCUUGACAUAGU
This 925-nucleotide ribosomal RNA is filed under the name uncultured bacterium. RNAcentral's name for it is "bacterial SSU rRNA". It matches the Rfam family "Bacterial small subunit ribosomal RNA", at positions 72 to 990 of the family's 1533-position model. The record is from RNAcentral.